RNAcentral lists this transfer RNA (71 nucleotides) under Ovis aries (sheep). It matches the Rfam family "tRNA". From Rfam's summary of the family: Transfer RNA (tRNA) molecules are approximately 80 nucleotides in length. Their secondary structure includes four short double-helical elements and three loops (D, anti-codon, and T loops). Further hydrogen bonds mediate the characteristic L-shaped molecular structure. tRNAs have two regions of fundamental functional importance: the anti-codon, which is responsible for specific mRNA codon recognition, and the 3' end, to which the tRNAs corresponding amino acid is attached (by aminoacyl-tRNA synthetases). tRNAs cope with the degeneracy of the genetic code in two manners: having more than one tRNA (with a specific anti-codon) for a particular amino acid; and 'wobble' base-pairing, i.e. permitting non-standard base-pairing at the 3rd anti-codon position. Lineage: Eukaryota; Metazoa; Chordata; Mammalia; Artiodactyla; Bovidae. The record is from Rfam by way of RNAcentral.
UCCCUGCUAGGUCAGUGAUAAAGGAUCUGCCUCCAACACAGGAAACCCAGGUUUAAUUCCUGGGUAGGGAA